AGCUCCCUGAACUCAUAAGAGAUUCAUUGAAAAGAGUAAACAUACAGCAUCCAUUUCUAAAAGAAAAAUACAGGUACUUUGAAAAAUGUUUAAUUCAAUGAUAAAGAGCCUGCCCAAGAGUUUAAAAUACAAUAAAAACAAGAACGUACAUCAAUUGUUGAUCCCAUCUGAUGGCAGUCUGUCCUUGAGCAUAUAGCUAAAAGGAUUUUCUCUGUAUCAAGUGGCACAACUACGGUGGACAUUCUGGAAACCAGGUGUCUGUUUGUAUGAAAAUGGUUGGAAGAAACAGAUCAGCACCCACAUCAGCGUAAUGUCUUCAUGGUCUUAUGCUGCAAUAAAGGGAAUGAUGCAUGCUUCACUGCAGAAAAACUAUAACUGCUGAGAAGUUCUUAUAAACCAAUGAUCUCAAAAUUAUUUUGGUAAUUUUUUUCUUCCAAAUAAAAUUAGAUAAACUCUACAUCCCUUCACUGCGCUCAAUACCCACCUUCUGUAAAAAGCAUGAAGAAAACUUCAAUGGACCAACAAGGCUGUAACACUGGGGGAAAUGAUUGAUUUCACUUAAACACCACCACCAACAAAAAAUGUUUAAAAACAGUUUCACGGCGCAACUUUCUCCUUGCUUUUUUUUCUUAUAGUUGGAAUGUAUUUUAUCGUCUGUCAGUUUUGCCCCUAUGAUAUGUCCUCUUAAAUUGGAUCUGUAAGCCCUUCAUAAAGUUUAAUAAAUCUUCAGCAUUUCACCCUAAGGAAAUUAUAUUAAAAACCUUCAAAUGUGAAGUUGGGCCCACAGACACACAGUGCUGGGA
Molecule: long non-coding RNA, 803 nt
Filed under: Homo sapiens (human)
Lineage: Eukaryota; Metazoa; Chordata; Mammalia; Primates; Hominidae
Description: HSALNT0150722
Source: RNAcentral